CCUUCUGAUAACUAUAGAAGGUCCAGCCUGCCCAGUGAAUUAAUUUAACGGCCGCGGUAUCCUAACCGUGCGAAGGUAGCGUAAUCACUUGUUCUUUAAAUAAGGACUAGUAUGAAUGGCACCACGAAGGUUAUACUGUCUCCCUUUUUUGAUCGAUUAAACUAAUCUUCACGUGAAGAAGCGUGAAUAAAUAUAUAAGACGAGAAGACCCUAUGGAGCUUAAAAUUAUGCAACAAUUGCUAUUAACCUUAAAUUUUAUGAAUAAUUUUUUACUAAACACCAUGAUUGCUAAUUUUUGGUUGGGGUGACCGCGGAGUAAAAACUAACCUCCACAAUGAAAGAAACCAAUAUUCUAAACUAAGAGCUACAACUCAAAGUAUUAAUAUUUUAACAUUCUUUGAUCCAAUUUUUUGAUCAACGAACAAAGUUACCCUAGGGAUAACAGCGCAAUCUACUUUGAGAGCUCCUAUCGACAAGUAGGUUUACGACCUCGAUGUUGGAUCAGGGUAUCCUAGUGGUGCAGCCGCUACUAAUGGUUCGUUUGUUCAACGAUUAAAACCCU
RNAcentral lists this ribosomal RNA (562 nucleotides) under Engystomops freibergi. Its description in RNAcentral is "partial 16S ribosomal RNA". It matches the Rfam family "Bacterial large subunit ribosomal RNA", at positions 1819 to 2597 of the family's 2925-position model. Lineage: Eukaryota; Metazoa; Chordata; Amphibia; Anura; Leptodactylidae. The record is from RNAcentral.